Molecule: ribosomal RNA, 253 nt
Filed under: uncultured bacterium
Lineage: Bacteria
Description: partial 16S ribosomal RNA
Rfam family: Bacterial small subunit ribosomal RNA
Source: RNAcentral
GACGUAGGGGGCCAGCGUUGUUCGGAAUUACUGGGCGUAAAGGGUUCGUAGGCGGCGCGGCAAGUCGGGUGUGAAAUCUCUGGGCUUAACUCAGAGGCUGCUUCCAAAACUGCUGUGCUUGAGUGUGGGAGAGGCGCGUGGAAUUGCAGGUGUAGCGGUGAAAUGCGUAGAUAUCUGCAGGAACACCCGUGGCGAAAGCGGCGCGCUGGACCACUACUGACGCUGAGGAACGAAAGCUAGGGGAGCAAACAGG